This is a non-coding RNA of Pelobates cultripes (western spadefoot toad), 217 nucleotides long. NCBI's taxonomy places the organism in Eukaryota, Metazoa, Chordata, Amphibia, Anura, Pelobatidae. The record is from the annotation of a GenBank genome assembly.
CCGCAACUCACCAGCGACCAGGGGUAAGCCAGAAUUCCUACCCCCCCAGGUAUUCAGCACGUCCACCAAUCCGGUGCCAUACCUGCAACCAACAGGGGCACAUCCAGAGAGACUGCCCACGGAACCGGCCUCGACCCAGCUGGAAUAACGCAGCCCCAAGCAACCGUGCCGCAGUCCACUGUCUACAGGCCGAAUCCUACCAGAAUCUGGAGCUGGG